Molecule: unclassified non-coding RNA, 335 nt
Filed under: soil metagenome
Description: partial contains 5.8S ribosomal RNA, internal transcribed spacer 2, and large subunit ribosomal RNA
Rfam family: 5.8S ribosomal RNA (bases 1-120)
Source: RNAcentral
GAUGAAGAACGCAGCGAAAUGCGAUAAGUAAUGUGAAUUGCAGAAUUCAGUGAAUCAUCGAAUCUUUGAACGCACAUUGCGCCCGCCAGUAUUCUGGCGGGCAUGCCUGUUCGAGCGUCAUUUCAACCAUCAAGCCCCCGGCUUGUGUUGGGGACCUGCGGCUGCCGCAGGCCCUGAAAACCAGUGGCGGGCUCGCUAAUCACUCCGAGCGUAGUAAUACAUCUCGCUCAGGGCGUGCUGCGGGUUCCGGCCGUUAAAAAGCCUUAUUUACCCAAGGUUGACCUCGGAUCAGGUAGGAAGACCCGCUGAACUUAAGCAUAUCAAUAAGCGGAGGA